CCCUUAACUAUUAAAAGUUUCGUUUUGGUCCCUUAAUUUAUUUUUUGGUUUCGUUUUGGUCCCUUAACUUAUUUUUUGGUUUCGUUUUGGUCCCUUAACUCUAAUACAUUCAUCCUAACAUAAAGGACAAAAGUGGUUGACGGAGGAAGAGUUAAGGGACCAAAAUGAAACCAAAAAAUAAGUUAAAGGACUAAAACGAAACUUUUAAUAGUUAAGGGA
This 219-nucleotide microRNA precursor is filed under the name Medicago truncatula (barrel medic). RNAcentral describes it as "MIR2655 microRNA precursor family". It matches the Rfam family "MIR2655 microRNA precursor family". The record is from Rfam by way of RNAcentral. Lineage: Eukaryota; Viridiplantae; Streptophyta; Magnoliopsida; Fabales; Fabaceae.